UGCGGAAGGAUCAUUAUUGAAAUAAACCUGAUGGGUUGUUGCUGGUUCUCUAGGGAGCAUGUGCACGCCUUGUCAUCUUUAUAUCUCCACCUGUGCACCUUUUGUAGACCUUCCGGGUCUAUGUUGCUUCAUUUACCCCAAUGUAUGUUAAUAGAAUGUUGUGAUUAUAAAAAAUAUACAACUUUCAGCAACGGAUCUCUUGGCUCUCGCAUCGAUGAAGAACGCAGCGAAAUGCGAUAAGUAAUGUGAAUUGCAGAAUUCAGUGAAUCAUCGAAUCUUUGAACGCACCUUGCGCUCCUUGGUAUUCCGAGGAGCAUGCCUGUUUGAGUGUCAUUAAUAUAUAUAUCAACCUUCACUUGUUGAAUGGUUUGGAUGUGGGGGUUUGCUGGACUCUUGAAGGGUUCAGCUCCUCUGAAAUGCAUUAGCAGAACAAUCUGUUCAUUGGUGUGAUAACUAUCUACGCUCUUGAAUAAGAUGCAGUUCAGCUUUCUAACUGUCCUUGGACAAUUUAUCAUUUAUGUGACCUCAAAUCAGGUAGGACUACCCGCUGAACUUAA
Molecule: ribosomal RNA, 557 nt
Filed under: Cortinarius saturninus
Lineage: Eukaryota; Fungi; Basidiomycota; Agaricomycetes; Agaricales; Cortinariaceae
Description: eukaryotic LSU rRNA
Rfam family: 5.8S ribosomal RNA (bases 180-333)
Source: RNAcentral